CCCAUCGCUAGCCUGUCGAGCACGAGGAAUUUGUUGUAUACUCGUCUAGUGGUAAUAGGACACACCUUCGCGACACGGCUAUUCAGUAUAUAAAUAGCUGACGGAGAAUGACGAUCGAGUGUUUUACGUAUACUCGGUACUAGAUCUGGAUGUAAGGAGGAAGUCCCCGGGCUCCCGGGAAUCCAUCGGGUCGUACACAGGUAUUAGCGAGGCUUGAUGUAUAGCCAUGGAAGAUACGGAGAAAAACGGGACUGUGGUCGUGGAUAUCCCUCAGGACCUACCCCUAGACAUGCUUCCCCCGAUCGUAGGUCGCAUGGAGCUCGACCUUCCUGAUGAUAGGAGGAGUAACACGAGUCGGCGUUCCAGUCUGCCCCCUCCACCAGACUCUCAUCUACCUCUGGAGGAGGGCAACACCAACGUGCCCCCAUCAACACGCUUCCAACGCUGCCGAUGGAAGGUCAGAGCGCUUGUCGAACACCUUCUUUUCCGCCUUUUCACCGUCAUCCUCAUCCUCGUGGACAUCUCCCUAGUCAUCGUCGAUUUCUGUGCCACCCUAGACGAAUCGACGUCACAAAAAAUUACCAUCACAUCACGAGCCAUAAUCAUAUACUUCGUUGUGGAGAUCAUACUUCGAAUAUUCGCAAAAGGCAUCGAUUUUUUCAAGAAUUGUUUUGAUGUGACAGACAUGGUUAUAGUACUAGCUACUUUCAUCAUAGACAUGGCGCUGAGUAACUAUGGCAGAUGGGGGGUCGUCGGUCGUACCUUACGUAUCAUCCGUAUCGGCCGAAGCGUAGUCAUCAUGGUCGGGCAGUACCGUCACGUGAUCACAGCCACAAGGAAGACAGUAUCACAAAACAAACGACGGUAUCUCAAGGACGGAUUUGACCUUGACCUUUGUUACAUCACAGAGCGGGUGAUCGCAAUGUCGUUUCCAUCGUCAGGGGUACGGAAGAUGUACCGAAACCCUAUCAACGAAGUGGCCAGGUUCCUCAACACCAAACACCCAGACCACUACAAGGUGUAUGACUUGUGUAGUGAACGAAAUUACCCGACCGAACUGUUCCACGACAGGGUAGAGAGAGUUUACAUAGACGAUCACAACGUCCCAACACUAGAAGACCUGGUGAAGUUCUGUGACGAUGUGCGGGUGUUCCUGUCUGAGGACGACACCAACGUGAUCGCUGUCCACUGUAAAGGUGGUAAAGGGCGGACCGGAACCAUGAUCUGUACCUGGCUGGUCGACUGUGAAAUGUUCGAGGAGGCGGAAAAAAGCCUGGACUACUUUGGGGGGAGGCGAACUGACUUGUCGGUAGGGAAAACCUUCCAGGGUGUGGAAACUCCCAGUCAGAGCCGGUAUGUCGGUUACUAUGAGAAAGUGAAGAAGGACUAUGACAAUGAGAUUCCCGCCAUCGUCAAAUUGAAGAUAACCACCGUUACGAUCACCGGUAUCAAAACUGUAGGGAAGGGCGAUGGAUCCGACCUAUCCAUGGCUAUCUUCCUCGGACGAGAACAGGCCUUCAACUGUAACUUUGGCAAGGGAAAGAACUGCGAGCUAACACAUGACAAAGACAACAACAGAAUAGAGGUGAUGCUGUGUAACUGCCCUAUAUUAGUAGAGGACACCAAGGUCAGGUUCACGUCUUCAGCAGUCACUGUACCGAAGGGGUACGAUAACUGCGCUUUCUACUUCUGGUUCCAUUCGGCAUUCAUCCAUAACAACAGAUUGCUUAUACCACGUGAUGAACUUGAUAACCCUCACAAGAAGAAAGUCCACAAGAUUUUUACAGAGGAGUUUUCCGUUAUGCUAAGCUUUGAGGAUGUAACGUGAGGAUUAUAGUUCUUAGUCAUCUUUCAUCCUGGUAGAAUGUGAAUACCACAAAGGCUGAACAAAUAGAUUCUUUAGGUACAGGGGACAGGUCUAAAAGUGACCACUGACAGAUCAACGACCAAAUGUGGACGAGUGUCAAUACGUUCAUUGGCCGAAAUACUUACUACAGACGAAAAUACAUUGUGAUUCAUGACUUUGAUCCAUUACAUGAUUUUUUUGUAUGCAUGUUGUUAAAAGUUUGUGAGAUUGACUUUAGCACUUUUCCAUUUUUACGUAUUUCCACUUUUCUCAUUCCCGAAUAAUUCAAAUGACUCGUGCUUAUUGUGUUAACCAGUUUUCUCCAUACUGUUUUCCAAUUUAAAAAACUGAUGUCAUUAUUCGAAUCUGCAGAUUCAGAUCAAAAGGAGAAAGUGUUUACUUCUUGCAUUUGUUUUCCAGAUUUUAACAAAUGUAUCAUUAUCUUAGUUAUUAUUUUAUGUUGAGUAGUUCUAAUAUUUAUAAGUUGACCUCCAAUAUGGAGAGCAUUCCAUUGCUCUUUACCUUUAUUCUUGACAGACGGUGGAUUGCUGUAGUAAAUGUUUUUUUAUUGUAUAACAAUGUGUCUUCAUUUGAUCGAGUUGAAUGUGACAUUAAUCACUUUAACAUCUCCUUUGUAAUGCCGAAAUAUUUAUAUUUUGACUACUAAAGUUUAUCUCUAUAUUUUCUAUAUGUAAGUUAUUUGUAUUUCCGCCGUAAUUUGCUCAAGAUAAAUGUCAACCAUACUGAUAUAGGUUAAGGGGAAGUAAUUAAUUUUAUCAGUAUCUACGGAGGAAAUUCAGAUGGUUUCAUUUAUCAAAUACAUAAUUAUGAUUGACAUUUCAGUCCAGGAGAUAUUUCAUUCUAUAACUAGAGUACGAUAAAUGCACUAUCUCAGUAAUUAUAUGUAAUAGGUCACAUCAGGUAUUGUACUGUCAAUACGUAUAUACAAUAGACAUAACGACCACGUUGAAAACUUGACAAUUGUGGUGAAAUGUCGCUUUCAUCUUUUGUUAUUUCAUAAGAAGAUAAUUUGUUUCCGUUCAAUAAAAAGAAGUAAGAACUUAGUAGUGCCAUUCCUCCUAAUCUUAGCAUGUUCUCGCUAAAACGAAACUUUCCAUGUUGUUGGAUUUUUUUUUAUUUAUGUUGUACGGAAUCUGUUUGUCACUUACUAUAUUUUACUGCUACGAGAAUAUCCUGUGGAAAUGGACGUUUGCUUACUAUACAACAGAUCUUUUUAGAGAUAUCUUGAGACAAGGCUAAAGGCUAAAUUAUAUUCCAAACAAAUUAUAAUAAAAUUCAAUUCUGUAUAUGAUAAAUAUGGAAAUCGGAAAAAACAAGCUGGUCCAUUAUAUGAAGUCCUUGCCUGAUUCAAUAUACUAAAAUUUUUUUUUUUAGAGACAUAUAAUAAUUUCCCAAAAGGCAAAAGAACAAGCACGGAAAGCGUGACAUAUUAGCUUUACCUGAAUUACAUACUCAGUUUGAUAUAUUAUACUAACUCGGUAGUUACGGAGUUUCUAAUUUAUCACGGUCGGUAGACGUACGUUUUUAUGUUGGCAUCAAAUUGUCUCUGCCUUUGCACUUUAAGUUUUAUUUAAAUGUUAACUAACAAUAAAGCCCAUAUUGUUAAAAUGAAACGUGAUAGAUGUUGUUGAAUUGUUUCCUUCAUCAAAUGGUAGAACAGUCAUUCUUUGCGGCUAGUAUUUUCUAUGGUUACUGGUGCCGUCAAGUAUUUUCUAUGGUUACCGGUGCCGUCAAGUAUUUUCUAUGGUUACUGGUGCCGUCAAGUAUUUGCCAUGGUUACCGAUGCCGUCAAGCGAUGAAUGCCGAACGGAAACGAUUCGGAGACCCUCCAAUUACUCUUACAGUAGGAUGGAAAGUUCCAAACCAUUUCCGAAUGUCAAAAAUUCAGAUGUAAUAGUUCUUGCUGUUUUACAUGGUAGGCAUUAUCUUUCUUUUGUUUUAAGAAUUUCAAUAUCCGAUGUUAUUAAUUUAAAUCGUCAAAAAGUAAAAUCUUGAAAACAUAAAUUUCUACCAGUUUGUUGAUGUAUUACGGUUAUAUGGUACAAAAAGAGAUAUUCAAAUCUUCAAACAACUUGUUACCAACCGUAAGUCGUAAACUUGAGCUAUUUAGCAGGUAGCUUGGUUGGUUAAUGUGCUAACAAUAAAUGCCAUUUAGAUGUAUCUUGCCAAGGGCCAAAUUCGCUAUCCUACAGGUCAAAUAUUUUUCCUGUAUGAGUUAUUUAAGUACCUAACCUAAGUAAGAAGUAACUUAGUUUUAGAAUUAUAAUAUUCAGUACUUGUAAUCUUCUAGUCAUUGUGUCACAGCUCGAUCAUGUUACACAUUGAAUCAGUUCAAAUGUAACGUAUAUGUGACGUGAAAACGAGAUAAAUAGCUGUAUAGAAAGGAAUGUCAAACAUUACAAAAAAUGUAUAUAUCUCUAGGUAAUGACACUUUUUUAUCUACUUAAUAAAAGGGAUUUCAAUCGUAGUCAAGAUGAAACAUUUCUAUGUUCAAUCAUGGAAGAAAAAAGUUUAGUUGUAUCCCCUUGCUUGUAUGAAUUCCCAAUCUUGUAUGUGGUUUUCAUCUUCUUUGCUGCAACAUUUUGAUUUAGGGAUUAAUCUAGACGUAAACCUAACGCGUUCGACUUUAAGUUCACGUAUGUCAGUUAUUAGUCUUGAUUGAACCAAUUUAAACAAUUCGAUUCACAUAGUAUUGAUUUCUAUUUGAGGGAAACAAGUUAACAUCCCUUUUUUCUCUUAACUGUUAAUACAAGCGGUUCCCUUGUACACGUGACACUUCCCGUUCAAAUUUAAGUGGUUUGUUUAUUACUGACCUUGAGUUCUUCCGAUGCUUUCUCUUGAAUUGACCAUUUUAACUUCGGUUUUUAAUUAUAUUUUAGGUGUUAACAAAUUUUACAAUUUUUUACUAUUUGUGA
This 4782-nucleotide unclassified non-coding RNA is filed under the name Mizuhopecten yessoensis (Yesso scallop). RNAcentral's name for it is "phosphatidylinositol 3,4,5-trisphosphate 3- phosphatase TPTE2-like, transcript variant X4". Lineage: Eukaryota; Metazoa; Mollusca; Bivalvia; Pectinida; Pectinidae. The record is from RNAcentral.